RNAcentral lists this ribosomal RNA (253 nucleotides) under uncultured bacterium. Its description in RNAcentral is "partial 16S ribosomal RNA". It matches the Rfam family "Bacterial small subunit ribosomal RNA", at positions 524 to 776 of the family's 1533-position model. The record is from RNAcentral.
UACAGAGGGGGCAAGCGUUGUUCGGAAUUACUGGGCGUAAAGGGCGCGUAGGCGGCCUUCUAUGUCGAACGUGAAAUCCCCGGGCUCAACCCGGGAACUGCGUCCGAUACUGGAAGGCUUGAAUCCGGGAGAGGGAUGCGGAAUUCCAGGUGUAGCGGUGAAAUGCGUAGAUAUCUGGAGGAACACCGGUGGCGAGGGCGGCAUCCUGGACCGGCAUUGACGCUGAGGCGCGAAAGCCAGGGGAGCAAACGGG